This 169-nucleotide ribosomal RNA is filed under the name uncultured bacterium. RNAcentral describes it as "partial 16S ribosomal RNA". It matches the Rfam family "Bacterial small subunit ribosomal RNA", at positions 335 to 521 of the family's 1533-position model. The record is from RNAcentral.
ACUCCUACGGGAGGCAGCAGUGGGGAAUAUUGCACAAUGCGCGCAAGCCUGAUGCAGCAACGCCGCGUGCGGGAAGAAGGCCCUAGGGUUGUAAACCGCUUUCAGCAGGGAAGAAAAUGACGGUACCUGCAGAAGAAGGUGCGGCCAACUACGUGCCAGCAGCCGCGGU